Molecule: transfer RNA, 72 nt
Filed under: Ovis aries (sheep)
Lineage: Eukaryota; Metazoa; Chordata; Mammalia; Artiodactyla; Bovidae
Rfam family: tRNA
About the family: Transfer RNA (tRNA) molecules are approximately 80 nucleotides in length.
Source: Rfam by way of RNAcentral
UCCUUUGUGGCUCAGAUGGUAAAGAACCUGCCUGCAAUGUGGGAGACCUGGGUUUGAUCCCUAGCUUAGGAA